This 125-nucleotide ribosomal RNA is filed under the name Cohnella luojiensis. Its description in RNAcentral is "Bacterial small subunit ribosomal RNA". It matches the Rfam family "Bacterial small subunit ribosomal RNA", at positions 1 to 118 of the family's 1533-position model. The record is from Rfam by way of RNAcentral. Lineage: Bacteria; Bacillati; Bacillota; Bacilli; Caryophanales; Paenibacillaceae.
AUUAUGGAGAGUUUGAUCCUGGCUCAGGACGAACGCUGGCGGCGUGCCUAAUACAUGCAAGUCGAACGAAUCUAGAAGUUAGCUUGCUAACUUUUAGGUUAGUGGCGGACGGGUGAGUAACACGU